RNAcentral lists this unclassified non-coding RNA (43 nucleotides) under Saccharolobus solfataricus. The record is from RNAcentral. Lineage: Archaea; Thermoproteati; Thermoproteota; Thermoprotei; Sulfolobales; Sulfolobaceae.
GCUAGGCACUGAUAAUAUGAUGACUUAAGGGCGGGAACUCUGA